RNAcentral lists this long non-coding RNA (210 nucleotides) under Cyanistes caeruleus (blue tit). Its description in RNAcentral is "lncRNA (ENSCCEG00000011587.1)". The record is from RNAcentral. Lineage: Eukaryota; Metazoa; Chordata; Aves; Passeriformes; Paridae.
CUCACCAGAUGGACAAAGAGAGACUAUUCAGUCAGAAACAGAGGAGCAGAAGAACAGAAAUAAAUAUUAUUAAAGGACAGUCUGCAAGGUGAAAAGCUCAACAUUUUUUUCAGAGAAUGGUGCAAAAAUUGUUUCUGUGGCGACAAUUUUCUUCACAAAUGAAAAUUAUCCCUGUCUGUGAAAAACGCCCAUAACUGAUGUCCUGGGCCC